GAUGGAAUUGCUUAAGACACACAGUCAUCUUGACAUAAAGACUUCAUUCAUGUUUAGCCUGACUUUUAUUGACUCAUGGUAACAUUAGUUUCUCUUUCAAGAUGUCAUUCAUUUUUAUUUGCAAGAAGUAUGUCCAUAGUUCUAGAUAAAUUAGGCCCAAAAGGAAGUGUGGUAGAAAAUGGUUAGAAUUUUCUUUCCUAUUUUUAGAUAACGAAUUAAUUUUUUUGAAUAUUUGAUGAGAUGUAUAGUCUUGUUAAAGCAAGAUGAUGUUGAUUCUUUCUGAAUACCUUGUUUCCAUCAGGGUUGUGGAUUACAGUAGUUUGGGGCUCCUGAGUGAGAACAAAAUAGAGAAAGAAACAGUUCGCAUUGCCAAUGUCUCUAGAUGCAGCAUGUCUACAUAGAGAUGUAGACAUGAAGAUAAAGAGCCACUGAAGAUGAACGUGAAAGACAUGGUGAUGACUGACAGGAAUGAUGAUCGCUAGUCUCCGAUGGUCACACACAGGCUGGACCAUGUCCGUGAUGGUGCAAUGAGAAAACAGACGUGUCUGCUGUUGCUAUGCCACCUUAGCAAACAAAGAGCUGCUUCAGUGGAGCUCCAAUCAGGUUUCAGAGUAUGAAAUUAAUAUAACCAUUCUCAUACUGUUCAAGUUGGAUUCUGUUUCCAAGCUUCCAAUUGUUCACAGUUAUAAAUAUAUUUCUUUCUUCCCUCAUUUUAUUCUUGAGCCUGAAGUCACACACACACAUACAUCUUUCUCUGGGGAUCCAGCAUUACUUUGCUUAGGAGCAAUUAAAUUAUCCAAUGAAAAUUUAGAUCUUCUGAGAAAACGCUGGUGUCACAAUAGCUUUUAAAAAUGACAAGUGUAGAUCUCCUCUAAAAAUUACAUCUUCAAU
RNAcentral lists this long non-coding RNA (891 nucleotides) under Homo sapiens (human). RNAcentral describes it as "HSALNT0076398". The record is from RNAcentral. Lineage: Eukaryota; Metazoa; Chordata; Mammalia; Primates; Hominidae.